GCACCCGCGGUAAUUCCAGCACCAAUAGCGUAUAUUAAUGCUGCUGCUGUUAAAAAGCUCGUAGUUGGAUCAAGAGUUCGACAGUGCACGGUGGCCCUGUUUGCCAUGGUGGUUCCGAUCACCGUGGCGGCAGCGGAUCAACCCCGUGCGCCAAACUGUCGACUCUAACAGACCGAAACGGUUCCCUGCGAGUAGACUCCUUCAUUGGGGUUGAAAGCGAUUACGCAUCAACCAUAUGCAUACGGGACGUCCGUCAAAGUUACUGUGAACAAACCAGCGUGUCCAAAACAGGCUUUCGCCUGAAUGUUCGAGCAUGGUAUAACAAGGGAUCGAUUCUCUCGGUUCUUUUUUGUUGGUUUUAAACCCGAGAAGGAGUAAUUCAGGCCACGGUGUCUGAGUUGGGUUCCCCUUCACCUCGGUGGAGGCCCCAAUUAGGCCGUGUCCUUACGGGAUCAAUAGGGACUGACGGGGUCGUUCGUACUUCUACGUCAGAGGUGAAAUUCUUAGAUCGUAGGAAGACGAACUUCUGCGAAAGCAUUCGACAAGAAUGUCUUCAUUAAUCAAGAACGAGAGUGUGGGGAUCGAAGAUGAUCAGAUACCGUCGUAGCCCACUACUGUACACAAUGCCGUCUCAGGAUUGAGAAGUGAACAGAAUGACUUUCACAGCACUAACCCCUGAAACGAGAAAUCAAAGAUUAUGGAUUCAGGGGGGAGUACAUUCGCAAGGCUGAAACUUAAAGGAAUUGACGGAAUGACACCACAAGGCGUGGAGUAUGCGGCUUAAUUUGACUCAACACGGGGAAUUUUACUAGGUCAGGACAAUGUAAGGAUUGACAGAUUGAGAGCUCUUUCUCGAUCCAUUGUGUGGUGGUGCAUGGCCGCUCCUGGUUGGUGGAGUGAUUUGUCUGGUUGAUUCCGUUAACGAACGAGAUCUCGACCCUUAAAUAGGUGCCCGUGUCGAAUGUAGUUUCGCCUCCGCGUACUUGUACGAUUGGAGCGGGACGAGACUGCGGGAAUACUUCUUAAGGGGACUGUGUGCGUCUCUAGCACGCGGAAGAGCGAGCCAAUAGCAGGUCUGUGAUGCUCCUAAAUGUCCUAGGCUGCACGCGCACUACACUGAUGCAAUAAACGAGUCUGAGUGCCUUCUGGCAACCUACCUGGAAGCGGGUGGGAAAUCUUUUGAACUUGCAUCGUGAUGAG
Molecule: ribosomal RNA, 1200 nt
Filed under: uncultured marine diplonemid
Lineage: Eukaryota; Euglenozoa; Diplonemea
Description: SSU rRNA
Rfam family: Eukaryotic small subunit ribosomal RNA
Source: RNAcentral